AUGGCUGUCGUCAGCUCGUGUCGUGAGAUGUUGGGUUAAGUCCCGCAACGAGCGCAACCCACGUCUUUAGUUGCCAGCAUUYAGUUGGGCACUCUAGAGAGACCGCCGGUGAUAAACCGGAGGAAGGUGUGGAUGACGUCAAGUCAUCAUGCCCCUUACAUCCUGGGCUACACACGUACUACAAUGCUACGGACAAAGGGCAGCAAACUCGCGAGAGCUAGCAAAUCCCAUAAACCGUGGCUCAGUUCAGAUCGUAGGCUGCAACUCGCCUACGUGAAGGAGGAAUCGCUAGUAAUCGCAGGUCAGCAUACUGCGGUGAAUACGUUCCCGGGCCUUGUACRCACCGCCCGUCACACCAUGGAAGUUGGCCAUGCCCGAAGUCGUUACUCCAACCCGUAAGGGRGGAGGACGCCGAAGGUGGGGCUGAUGACUGGGGUGAAGUCGUAACAAGGUAGCCGUACCGGAAGGUGCGGCUGGAUCACCUCCUAAC
RNAcentral lists this ribosomal RNA (490 nucleotides) under Synechococcus sp. CCY0432. RNAcentral's name for it is "bacterial SSU rRNA". It matches the Rfam family "Bacterial small subunit ribosomal RNA", at positions 1045 to 1533 of the family's 1533-position model. Lineage: Bacteria; Bacillati; Cyanobacteriota; Cyanophyceae; Synechococcales; Synechococcaceae. The record is from RNAcentral.